CCUUCGGGGGUACACGAGCGGCGAACGGGUGAGUAACACGUGAGCAACCUACCCUCAACUUUGGGAUAAGCCUCGGAAACGGGGUCUAAUACCGGAUAAUACUAACCGUCUCCUGGUGGUUGGUUGAAAGUUCUGGCGGUUGGGGAUGGGCUCGCGGCCUAUCAGCUUGUUGGUGGGGUAAUGGCCUACCAAGGCGUCGACGGGUAGCCGGCCUGAGAGGGCGACCGGCCACACUGGGACUGAGACACGGCCCAGACUCCUAUGGGAGGCAGCAGUGGGGAAUAUUGCGCAAUGGACGAAAGUCUGACGCAGCAACGCCGCGUGAGGGAUGACGGCCUUCGGGUUGUAAACCUCUUUCAGCAGGGACGAAGCGAGAGUGACGGUACCUGCAGAAGAAGGACCGGCCAACUACGUGCCAGCAGCCGCGGUAAUACGUAGGGUCCGAGCGUUGUCCGGAAUUAUUGGGCGUAAAGGGCUCGUAGGCGGUUCGUCACGUCGGGAGUGAAAACUCGGGGCUUAACCCCGAGCCUGCUUCCGAUACGGGCAGACUAGAGGUAGGCAGGGGAGAGCGGAACUCCUGGUGUAGCGGUGGAAUGCGCAGAUAUCAGGAAGAACACCGGUGGCGAAGGCGGCUCUCUGGGCCUUACCUGACGCUGAGGAGCGAAAGCGUGGGUAGCGAACAGGAUUAGAUACCCUGGUAGUCCACGCCGUAAACGUUGGGCGCUAGGUGUGGGGGACAUUCCACGUCCUCCGUGCCGCAGCUAAC
RNAcentral lists this ribosomal RNA (766 nucleotides) under Kribbella karoonensis. Its description in RNAcentral is "bacterial SSU rRNA". It matches the Rfam family "Bacterial small subunit ribosomal RNA", at positions 77 to 856 of the family's 1533-position model. Lineage: Bacteria; Bacillati; Actinomycetota; Actinomycetes; Propionibacteriales; Kribbellaceae. The record is from RNAcentral.